Molecule: unclassified non-coding RNA, 249 nt
Organism: Cebus imitator (Panamanian white-faced capuchin)
Lineage: Eukaryota; Metazoa; Chordata; Mammalia; Primates; Cebidae
Rfam family: Metazoan signal recognition particle RNA
About the family: The signal recognition particle (SRP) is a universally conserved ribonucleoprotein. It is involved in the co-translational targeting of proteins to membranes.
Source: Ensembl
GCUGGGCACGGUGGCACAUGCCUGUAGUCCUAGCUACUCAGGAGGCUGAGGCAAGAGGAUCACUUGUGUGCUAUGUUGACUGGUUAAUGCACUAAGUUUGGCAUCAAUAUGGUGACCUUCAGGCAGUAGGGAACCACGAGGCUGCCUAAGGAGGGGUGACUGUCCCAGACGGGAAAUGGAGUUGAUCAGAAUUCCUGUGCUGAUCAGUAGUGAGACCGUGCCUGUGAAGAGCCGCAGCACUCUAGCCUG